This is a long non-coding RNA of Aricia agestis (brown argus), 208 nucleotides long. RefSeq lists it as uncharacterized. The transcript is spliced from 2 exons. NCBI's taxonomy places the organism in Eukaryota, Metazoa, Arthropoda, Insecta, Lepidoptera, Lycaenidae. The record is from RefSeq and is a predicted model, not a curated record.
UUUUAUUGAAAUAAAAAAGUUCUAACGGAGAGUAAAAUGAUCAACAGCUCUUACACCUUCCCCCUGUUUUUGGAAUGCUUCUAAAGAAAAGUUCAAUAUGAUGGUGAUGACGGAGAGACCUAUAAUGAAGAUAAUAUUAUUUUUAAGUUUAGAUUAUAACCGAGUAAUCUGGUGGUGAGAUGGAGUGAGGAGGGAUGGUUUAAGUGAG